Molecule: non-coding RNA, 145 nt
Organism: Gossypium raimondii (Peruvian cotton)
Lineage: Eukaryota; Viridiplantae; Streptophyta; Magnoliopsida; Malvales; Malvaceae
Source: Rfam
UAUUAAAAUUUUCAUUUAUUUGUACAAUUAAAAAUUGGCGUGCCAGACGGAAUAAUCAAACAGUGACAUGUGAUGUGUCACAUGUACAUUAUGUUAACAUACAGAGACUAGUUUUUAACAGUAAAAAUAGAUGAAAUUUUUAACA